This 256-nucleotide ribosomal RNA is filed under the name uncultured bacterium. RNAcentral's name for it is "partial 16S ribosomal RNA". It matches the Rfam family "Bacterial small subunit ribosomal RNA", at positions 524 to 776 of the family's 1533-position model. The record is from RNAcentral.
UACGAAGGGGGGCUAGCGUUGCUCGGAUUGACUGGGCGUAAAGGGCGCGUAGGCGGUUCGUACAGUCAGACGUGAAAUUCCUGGGCUCAACCUGGGGGGCUGCGUUGGAUACGUGCGGACUUGAGUGCGGAAGAGGGUCGUGGAAUUCCCAGUGUAGAGGUGAAAUUCGUAGAUAUUGGGGAAGAACACCGGUGGCGAAGGCGGCGACCUGGUCCGAUACUGACGCUGAGGCGCGAAAGCGUGGGGAGCAAACAGG